AAAAGCUUGAGUACAAUCAUUAUUCAGGAUCUCGGUCAUUUGUUGCAACAAUGACUAUACCGGUAAUAUGUUUUUGAGUAUGUACUGGCUAUAUUUUUAGUGAACUGCCUGUGAAACAGUCUAUGGGAUAGUUUUGACUAUUGUAAAAUAGAUAAUUUGCUGCAAGUAGAUUUUUUAUUCUAGUUUGCUGCGAGUAUAUU
Molecule: long non-coding RNA, 200 nt
Filed under: Phoenix dactylifera (date palm)
Lineage: Eukaryota; Viridiplantae; Streptophyta; Magnoliopsida; Arecales; Arecaceae
Description: long non-coding RNA (PDAC_LNC020213)
Source: RNAcentral